UACGUAGGGGGCUAGCGUUAUCCGGAAUUACUGGGCGUAAAGGGUGCGUAGGUGGUUUCUUAAGUCAGAGGUGAAAGGCUACGGCUCAACCGUAGUAAGCCUUUGAAACUGAGAAACUUGAGUGCGGGAGAGGAGAGUAGAAUUCCUAGUGUAGCGGUGAAAUGCGUAGAUAUUAGGAGGAAUACCAGUUGCGAAGGCGGCUCUCUGGACUGUAACUGACACUGAGGCACGAAAGCGUGGGGAGCAAACAGGAUUAGAUACCCUGGUAGUCCCUGAG
RNAcentral lists this ribosomal RNA (277 nucleotides) under uncultured prokaryote. RNAcentral's name for it is "partial 16S ribosomal RNA". It matches the Rfam family "Bacterial small subunit ribosomal RNA", at positions 524 to 801 of the family's 1533-position model. The record is from RNAcentral.